RNAcentral lists this small RNA (725 nucleotides) under Pan troglodytes (chimpanzee). RNAcentral's name for it is "retained intron". Lineage: Eukaryota; Metazoa; Chordata; Mammalia; Primates; Hominidae. The record is from RNAcentral.
AUGCUCUUGCGACCACUCCAGGCACGAUUGGCACCCUUCUGCAGAAGUAAAUUGCCUUGCUGAGAAAGCUUUUUGCCAGAGUGCUGAUUCUUCUUUGCGGCACCAAGCAUUUGUUUCUAACAUCAACUAUCUACUUUCAUUUUUCAGGUUAAGAAAUCUCCAAAACAGUUGGCUGCUUACAUAAAUAGAACAGUUGGACAAACUGUGAAAAGCCCAGAUAAACUUCGUAAAGUGAUCUAUCGCAGAAAGAAAGUUCAUCAUCCCUUUCCAAAUCCUUGUUACAGAAAAAAACAGUCCCCUGGAAGUGGGGGCUGUGACAUGGCAAAUAAAGAAAAUGAACUGGCUUGUGCAGGCCACCUGCCUGAAAAAUUACACCAUGAUAGUCGAACAUAUUUGGUUAACUCCAGUGAUUCUGGUUCUUCACAGACAGAAAGCCCAUCAUCAAAAUAUAGUGGGUUUUUUUCUGAGGUUUCUCAGGACCAUGAAACAAUGGCCCAAGUUUUGUUCAGCAGGAAUAUGAGAUUGAAUGUAGCUUUAACUUUCUGGAGAAAGAGAAGUAUAAGUGAACUUGUAGCUUAUUUGUUGAGGAUAGAAGAUCUUGGCGUUGUGGUAGAUUGCCUUCCUGUGCUCACCAAUUGUUUACAGGAAGAAAAACAAUAUAUCUCACUUGGCUGCUGUGUUGACUUGUUGCCUCUAGUAAAGUCACUACUUAAAAGCAAAUUUGA